This 269-nucleotide long non-coding RNA is filed under the name Lathyrus oleraceus (garden pea). Its description in RNAcentral is "Pisum sativum (pea) long non-coding RNA (PSAT_LNC034804)". Lineage: Eukaryota; Viridiplantae; Streptophyta; Magnoliopsida; Fabales; Fabaceae. The record is from RNAcentral.
GGACUUCUUUCUUCUCCUUCUGAAGAUCUUCAAGUGUCUUGAGAACCAGAGGGACAAAGAUGGAAGACUCCCACUUAGUCAGAGCAUCCGAUUCUACCCUGUUGGCAGAUUCUUCAUCACGACGAGCUUCAGCUUCAGUAGCGGCUUUAGCUUCAGCAGCAACUUUUGCUUCAGCUUCAGCAGCAGCAGCAGCCUCAGCUAGAGCUUUGGCUUCAGCUUCCUUAAUCCGUUGCAUUUCCUCUUGUUUGGCUUUCUCUUCUGCUUCUUUC